This is a non-coding RNA of Oryctolagus cuniculus (rabbit), 1219 nucleotides long. The record is from RefSeq and is a predicted model, not a curated record. Lineage: Eukaryota; Metazoa; Chordata; Mammalia; Lagomorpha; Leporidae.
CAUCCACUGACUCCGCAGUUGCUCACAACAACCAGAGCUGGACCAGGCUGAAGCCAGGAGCCUGGAACUCAAUUCAGGUCUCCCAUGUGAGGCAGGGACUCAGGCAUUUGAAUCAUCACUGCUGCCUUCCAAGGGUGUGCAUUAGCAGCAAGCUAGAUCAGAAGUAAAGAAGCUGGGACUUGAACCAGGCACUCUGCUAUGGGAUGCAGGUUUCCCAAGUAGCAUCUUAACCACUGGGCCAAACACUUGCCCCAUUUUUUAAAAAGAUACUUUAUUGGGAGUAUUGUUGACAUGCAAUACACUGCAUGUAAUUAAGGUGUAUGAUUAAAUUUUUAACUACGGGUCCUCUCUUGCAACCACCACCAUGUCCCUCACUUCCAGAAGCUUCCUCAUGGCCCUUUGUGUUCUCUUCCAUCUGCUUCCUCUUCCUCCAACCCAGUUCCCUGGAAACUACCAAUCUGCUCUCCUCUCCUGGAUUGCUCUGCGCUUUCAGGGGCUGCAUGCUGAUGGAAUCACACAAACCUGGGACUCAGCGGGAGCUAUAUAGCUCACAAGUGUCACACAGCUGUGAAGUGGUAGAGCUGGAAUUUUAUCCUGGUUCUGUGUGGUCACAGAGCCCAUCUCUCUCUUGGAUUACAACUCUGAUUCUUAGAACAGCCUUAGGGUGAACCCAGCUUGUGAAAGGAGGAAGCUUUUGCAGAGAGGUGGGCCCACUCUCAGUCACAGGCCACUCCUGACUAAGGACUCCCAAGGUGCAUCCAGGACACUGUCUCAGGCACAGUCCCCUUUGGUCUGAAACUUGCAUCAAGGAGACAUUCCCUGCCCCGCAGCAGGCCUCUUUAGGCCCUUGCGAUUACUUGAAAUGAGCCAACUAUGAGCAUCAAGAACGCGAAUGCUUUCAGGUCACACAUGGCAGCUCCUCUCCUGGUUCCACCUCCUCCAGCACAAAUCUCCAGCAGACCAACGAUGGAGGGACAGCUGCCCCUGUGGUUCAGCAGACUGCCCGCUGGACAGUUCCCAGGGUUCCUGGGGCCGUCAGAGGGGUCUGGCAAUCUCCAGCACCUAAGGGAGGGCCAGGACACAUCCUCCUCAAAAGAGGGGUAUUUGGGAAUUCAGCCCCUCUCCGCUGAAUUUCGUUCUUCUCUCCAGACGUGAGAUUCUAAAACUUCUCAGUCACGGGAGGAUCUAGGUGCUCCAGCACAUAGUCCGCAGCCCCUGA